RNAcentral lists this ribosomal RNA (200 nucleotides) under uncultured bacterium. Its description in RNAcentral is "partial 16S ribosomal RNA". It matches the Rfam family "Bacterial small subunit ribosomal RNA", at positions 973 to 1174 of the family's 1533-position model. The record is from RNAcentral.
ACCAGGUCUUGACAUCUUGCGCCAACCCUAGAGAUAGGGCGUUUCCUUCGGGAACGCAAUGACAGGUGGUGCAUGGUCGUCGUCAGCUCGUGUCGUGAGAUGUUGGGUUAAGUCCCGCAACGAGCGCGACCCUUGUUACUAGUUGCCAGCAUUAAGUUGGGCACUCUAGUGAGACUGCCGGUGACAAACCGGAGGAAGGA